GGGUGCUUGAGGCUAUCUGCCUUAGGCAUAGACGAGGCAGAUAGAGAAAAGCCCCAGUUAACAUUACGCGUCCUGCAAGACGCUUAACAUUAAUCUGAGGCCAUAUCUAUAUGCGACACAUAAAGAUUAGCCUCUUAACAGUAAGAAAUCAACUUACAGGAGGCUGUAAUG
Molecule: antisense RNA, 171 nt
Filed under: Citrobacter freundii
Lineage: Bacteria; Pseudomonadati; Pseudomonadota; Gammaproteobacteria; Enterobacterales; Enterobacteriaceae
Description: sok antitoxin
Rfam family: sok antitoxin (CssrC)
About the family: Also identified in Shigella as CssrC.
Source: RNAcentral